RNAcentral lists this ribosomal RNA (503 nucleotides) under uncultured bacterium. RNAcentral describes it as "partial 16S ribosomal RNA". It matches the Rfam family "Bacterial small subunit ribosomal RNA", at positions 30 to 523 of the family's 1533-position model. The record is from RNAcentral.
AUUGAACGCUGGCGGCAGGCUUAACACAUGCAAAUCGAGCGGGGUGAUGGUGCUUGCACUAUCACUUAGCGGCGGACGGGUGAGUAAUGCUUAGGAAUCUGCCUAUUAGUGGGGGACAACACCUCGAAAGGGAUGCUAAUACCGCAUACGUCCUACGGGAGAAAGCAGGGGAUCACUGGUGACCUUGCGCUAAUAGAUGAGCCUAAGUCGGAUUAGCUAGUUGGUGGGGUAAAGGCCUACCAAGGCGACGAUCUGUAGCGGGUCUGAGAGGAUGAUCCGCCACACUGGGACUGAGACACGGCCCAGACUCCUACGGGAGGCAGCAGUGGGGAAUAUUGGACAAUGGGGGGAACCCUGAUCCAGCCAUGCCGCGUGUGUGAAGAAGGCCUUAUGGUUGUAAAGCACUUUAAGCGAGGAGGAGGCUCUUUUGGUUAAUACCCAGAAUGAGUGGACGUUACUCGCAGAAUAAGCACCGGCUAACUCUGUGCCAGCAGCCGCCGUAA